ACUCAAAUGAAUUGACGGGGGCCCGCACAAGCAGCGGAGCAUGUGGCUUAAUUCGACGCAACGCGAAGAACCUUACCAAGGCUUGACAUGCUGGGUAAUCUCGCAGAGAUGCGGGGUCCGCAAGGGAUCCAGUACAGGUGGUGCAUGGCUGUCGUCAGCUCGUGUCGUGAGAUGUUGGGUUAAGUCCCGCAACGAGCGCAACCCUCGUUCUAUGUUGCCAGCGGAUAAUGCCGGGGACUCAUAGGAGACUGCCGGGGUCAACUCGGAGGAAGGUGGGGACGACGUCAAGUCAUCAUGCCCCUUAUGUCUUGGGCUGCACACAUGCUACAAUGGCCGGUACAAAGGGCUGCGAAACCGCAAGGUAGAGCGAAUCCCAAAAAGCCGGUCUCAGUUCGGAUUGGGGUCUGCAACUCGACCCCAUGAAGUCGGAGUUGCUAGUAAUCGCAGAUCAGCAACGCUGCGGUGAAUACGUUCCCGGGCCUUGUACACACCGCCCGU
Molecule: ribosomal RNA, 498 nt
Filed under: uncultured bacterium
Lineage: Bacteria
Description: partial 16S ribosomal RNA
Rfam family: Bacterial small subunit ribosomal RNA
Source: RNAcentral